UCAUGUUGCUCAAGGAGAAUUCUGAUGAUUCUGGGAGGAUAUAGGGUUCCUACACAUUUUUCCUGAGGAAAUUAAGAACAGGACAGAUGGAUGUACAAAUCGAUGAAUCCACAAACAAGGAGCAAAUGGAUGGAUGACUAAAACUUUUAGACAAUAAUACAGUCAUCAUAUCUGGAAAUACCAAUUUAUUUUAUCAUACUUAAACCCACUUCCAAACAGUGUGGGGGCCCAGCUCAAACCUGCAUUCUACACAAGUCCAACAGAACUUGAGAGGUCAGGAAACCCAGGAAUCUUUAGAAGCUUCCAAAGCUCCACAUCUUUGAUCAGAACCAGGUAGACAAUGUUGCUCUGCAGCUGAUCCAAAGAUGGAUCACUAGCUCCUGAAGAACUGAGUUCAGUUAGGAAACCAAACUGUAUGAAGUCGUUAAAGUCUAGGAAAAAUCUUGAGUCAUUGUUUUUACUGUAGUUAAAUUUGGUGGCACCUCUUGGAUGAUUUCAGGUUUCUUUAACACAAGUGAGUUCUUUCAGAAUCUGCUUUAUUCGCCAAGUUUGCAAAUGUGUAUGGUAUCGAUCUGACCACUCUGAAGUGUCCAUCAGACAGACAGCCUGGGGGAAGAAACUAUCUCUGUAGCGGCUGGUUUUCUGCAAACAGUACUCUGUAGCGCCCACCUGAAGGUGAAAGUCUAAACCUGAGGUCCCCAAACCCCAGAGUCCGAUCCAAAUCCGGACCCAGAGAGUGUUUUGUCCGGACCGCAAAGCAUUUUCUCAUUUACUAUGUACAUAUAGAUAUUUUAUUCCUGCCGUGUCCGCCUUUGGAACAGGCACGACGGGCGGCUAUGUGGACCAGCGACAUUCUGACCCGCGGUCCAAGCCAGCUGGUGGCGGUAAUGCACCACAUCAUUGCAUGCCAACCGCCAGAAAACGACAAAGAAGGAGCUAUGCAGGGUCCUUGAAACUACAUAAGGUGGACUAUGAAAUUCGCACAAUUAAAGAUGAAUGGACAGAAACAUGUGCUUUAAUUUUAACUUCUGUCGAGUGUAAGGCCGGUCUGCCUGAAAUGAUCUGAAUCAAUUGGACGUAUAAAGAGUGGAAAUCUAAAGAGACAUUAUGAAACCAAGCAUAAGAACUACAACCAAACCAAUCCACCUGAGUCUGAUGGUAGGACAAGGUUGAAUCAACGAACUGAGGUGUAACCUAUGUUACUUAAAUUGAGUGCCCGUUCAGCCAUCAGGGGCGCCGUUAUAAAAGGGAAACGCUCUCAGAGUACGCCCCGUUCUGAUGUCACGUCCUCCUUGCUGUUGGCUGGGCAUGGCUGGAAUAAACAAAUGACUGAUUCAACACGAAAUCUGAUUAACACCUUAUGUAAAUCUUCCCAUACUCAUUGGUCAGGUUUUUUUUGGACUCCCUGAACCUCUUCUAGAGUGGCGAGCUGGUAGGAUUAUUUAUUUUUCCCUUUUGAUUCGGGACCUUGGACACUGUUAGAGUCCUGUUUUUUUCCCCCCAAAAGGAACUUAACUAAAAGAACAUGGACAAUAACUGAACUUUCAUAUUUAGUUUGGAUAAACACAAACUGAACCAUUUUGAUUGAAUGACUGGAUACUUGUCUAAUGUAAUCUUGUCUUGACACACUUAUCUGGUGUCUGUCUAAUUAUAUGUUUGUUGUAAUUUAAGUUGAAUAUAUAUUUCUGAAUCAGAUGAGCAUUUAUUUUUUUUCUUCCUCUGGUUAUCUUGUUCCAUCCCAGGCUCCUAUGAUGAACUUAAUUUUCUGUUGUCAGUUUUGUUAAUAUCUUCGCGAUAACUGGUCCAUAUAUAUAUAAAAAAAAACGUAACCCAUACAAGCAUAUUGUGUCGGUGUUACAGAGGGGACAGAAUGAGCGAGCUGCACGGCUGAUAACACGAGCACAAGGAGAGCAGAACUGUUCUACCUAGAUGUACUGACCCAGCUUGACUGUGUCAUUCAAAGUGCGUUCAUUAUUGGUACUUAAAUUGGAUUGGAUUUUUCCAUUCAGCAGAUGAUGUCACGAACAUAUGAAUAUUUAAUCUGUGGUUAUAAAACAAAAACUGUAGUUAAUUAAAUGUUAAAUAAAAAUGAAAGAAAAUA
Molecule: long non-coding RNA, 2101 nt
Organism: Girardinichthys multiradiatus
Lineage: Eukaryota; Metazoa; Chordata; Actinopteri; Cyprinodontiformes; Goodeidae
Exons: 2
Source: RefSeq, a predicted model, not a curated record